GAUGAACGCUGGCGGCGUGCCUAAUACAUGCAAGUCGAGCGAACAGACCAGGAGCUUGCGCCUCUGACGUUAGCGGCGGACGGGUGAGUAACACGUGGAUAACCUACCUAUAAGACUGGGAUAACUUCGGGAAACCGGAGCUAAUACCGGAUAAUAUAUUGAACCGCAUGGUUCAAUAGUGAAAGACGGUUUUGCUGUCACUUAUAGAUGGAUCCGCGCCGCAUUAGCUAGUUGGUAAGGUAACGGCUUACCAAGGCGACGAUGGGUAGCCGACAUGAGGGGGUGUAGGGCGACACUGGAAGUGAGACACGGUCCAGACACCGACGGGAGGCAGCAGUAGGGAAUCUUCCGCAAUGGGCGAAAGCCUGACGGAGCAACGCCGGGUGAAUGAUGAAGGUCUUCGGAUCGUAAAACUCUGUUAUUAGGGAAGAACAAAUGUGUAAGUAACUAUGCACGUCUUGACGGUACCUGGUCAGAAAGCCACGGCUAACUACGUG
This 497-nucleotide ribosomal RNA is filed under the name uncultured bacterium. Its description in RNAcentral is "partial 16S ribosomal RNA". It matches the Rfam family "Bacterial small subunit ribosomal RNA", at positions 28 to 507 of the family's 1533-position model. The record is from RNAcentral.